Non-coding RNA from Castor canadensis (American beaver), 728 nucleotides. NCBI's taxonomy places the organism in Eukaryota, Metazoa, Chordata, Mammalia, Rodentia, Castoridae. The record is from RefSeq and is a predicted model, not a curated record.
AUAUAAUUACUAAAGCUUUCAGAAUAGCCUUGCUUUUCUCUUUGGUGUGGUCACGGAAGGGACACUGGCCUGAUCUUUCUACACUGCUGGGAAACCUCCCUUUUUAGGGAGAGGGUUAGGUCCAGGGUGAGGUUCAACCACAGGAUCUUGGCCAUGGCAAGGCUCUGUGUCAUCUCAUCUAUAAACUGGGAUCAUGAUGGUCCCCACCUAUAGAGUUUUGGUGAAGAUCGAAUGAAAUAACACAUGGCAAGUGCUUAGCACAGGACAAAGUACCCCGUGAAUGGACAGCUAUCGAGACCUGGUGAAAGAUCAGGUGCAAUAAUGUUCGGCAGUAAAAAGAAAUCCCUUGGUAAGUAUCGAGUUUAUCAAAUGACAUGAAGCAAUAUUAAUUUUAAUACUAUUCUAUUUUUUGAUGGAGGUUAGACAGAUACAGUCUCAAGUGUUCAGUUGAACCAUCUUUGACAAUUAUAUACAUCCAUGUAACUCCCCAAAGAGUAUAAAACAAGAUAUAGGACAUUUUUGUAACUUCAGCAAAUUCCCUUGUGUGUCUUUUUAUUCAUCCAAACACCUGAUUUCUAUCAGGUUAGUUUUGCCUAUUUUAAAAAUGAGUAUAAACAAAAUAAUAUAGUAUAUAUUCUUUUGCUCAGCAUAAGGUUUUUGCCACAUAUCUGUAGGGUUGCAUGGAUCAAUAAUUUGGUCUUCAUUUUUUAUUUCAAAUCAGUGUUCCA